CGGGGGGGGCAAGCGUUGUUCGGAAUUACUGGGCGUAAAGGGCUCGUAGGCGGCCAACUAAGUCGGACGUGAAAUCCCCAGGCUCAACCUGGGAACUGCGUCCGAUACUGGAUGGCUUGAAUCCGGGAGAGGGAUGCAGAAUUCCAGGUGUAGCGGUGAAAUGCGUAGAUAUCUGGAGGAAUACCGGUGGCGAAGGCGGCAUCCUGGACCGGCAUUGACGCUGAGGAGCGAAAGCUAGGGGAGCAAACGGGAUUAGAUACCCCGGUAGUCCUAGCCCUAAACGAUGAAUGCUUGGUGUAACGGGUAUCGAUCCCUGUUGUGCCGAAGCUAACGCAUUAAGCAUUCCGCCUGGGGAGUACGGUCGCAAGGCUG
RNAcentral lists this ribosomal RNA (372 nucleotides) under uncultured organism. RNAcentral's name for it is "bacterial SSU rRNA". It matches the Rfam family "Bacterial small subunit ribosomal RNA", at positions 526 to 896 of the family's 1533-position model. The record is from RNAcentral.